GAGUUUGAUCCUGGCUCAGAUUGAACGCUGGCGGCAGGCCUAACACAUGCAAGUCGAGCGGAUGACGGGAGCUUGCUCCUUGAUUCAGCGGCGGACGGGUGAGUAAUGCCUAGGAAUCUGCCUGGUAGUGGGGGACAACGUUUCGAAAGGAACGCUAAUACCGCAUACGUCCUACGGGAGAAAGCAGGGGACCUUCGGGCCUUGCGCUAUCAGAUGAGCCUAGGUCGGAUUAGCUAGUUGGUGGGGUAAUGGCUCACCAAGGCGACGAUCCGUAACUGGUCUGAGAGGAUGAUCAGUCACACUGGAACUGAGACACGGUCCAGACUCCUACGGGAGGCAGCAGUGGGGAAUAUUGGACAAUGGGCGAAAGCCUGAUCCAGCCAUGCCGCGUGUGUGAAGAAGGUCUUCGGAUUGUAAAGCACUUUAAGUUGGGAGAAGGGCAGUAAGUUAAUACCUUGCUGUUUUGACGUUACCGACAGAAUAAGCACCGGCUAACUCUGUGCCAGCCGCCG
This 512-nucleotide ribosomal RNA is filed under the name bacterium enrichment culture clone ALO1_GLFRUDD03FTQEO. RNAcentral's name for it is "bacterial SSU rRNA". It matches the Rfam family "Bacterial small subunit ribosomal RNA", at positions 9 to 517 of the family's 1533-position model. The record is from RNAcentral. RNAcentral also lists the same sequence under 1 other name.